Molecule: ribosomal RNA, 320 nt
Filed under: Methylobacterium sp. MB2.7
Lineage: Bacteria; Pseudomonadati; Pseudomonadota; Alphaproteobacteria; Hyphomicrobiales; Methylobacteriaceae
Description: bacterial SSU rRNA
Rfam family: Bacterial small subunit ribosomal RNA
Source: RNAcentral
UCACGGUCCACUUCGGUGGCGCGCACACAGGUGCUGCAUGGCUGUCGUCAGCUCGUGUCGUGAGAUGUUGGGUUAAGUCCCGCAACGAGCGCAACCCACGUCCUUAGUUGCCAUCAUUCAGUUGGGCACUCUAGGGAGACUGCCGGUGAUAAGCCGCGAGGAAGGUGUGGAUGACGUCAAGUCCUCAUGGCCCUUACGGGAUGGGCUACACACGUGCUACAAUGGCGGUGACAGUGGGACGCGAAGGAGCGAUCUGGAGCAAAUCCCCAAAAGCCGUCUCAGUUCGGAUUGCACUCUGCAACUCGAGUGCAUGAAGGCGG